GACGAACGCUGGCGGCGUGCUUAACACAUGCAAGUCGAACGGAAAGGCCCUGCUUUUGUGGGGUGCCCGAGUGGCGAACGGGUGAGUAACACGUGAGUAACCUGCCCUUGACUUUGGGAUAACUUCAGGAAACUGGGGCCAAUACCGGAUAGGAGCUCCUGCUGCAUGGUGGGGGUUGGAAAGUUUCGGCGGUUGGGGAUGGACUCGCGGCUUAUCAGCUUGUUGGUGGGGUAGUGGCUUACCAAGGCUUUGACGGGUAGCCGGCCUGAGAGGGUGACCGGCCACAUUGGGACUGAGAUACGGCCCAGACUCCUACGGGAGGCAGCAGUGGGGAAUAUUGCACAAUGGGCGGAAGCCUGAUGCAGCAACGCCGCGUGCGGGAUGACGGCCUUCGGGUUGUAAACCGCUUUCGCCUGUGACGAAGCGUGAGUGACGGUAAUGGGUAAAGAAGCACCGGCUAACUACGUG
RNAcentral lists this ribosomal RNA (468 nucleotides) under uncultured bacterium. RNAcentral's name for it is "partial 16S ribosomal RNA". It matches the Rfam family "Bacterial small subunit ribosomal RNA", at positions 28 to 507 of the family's 1533-position model. The record is from RNAcentral.